UACAGAGGGGGCAAGCGUUGUUCGGAAUUACUGGGCGUAAAGGGCGCGUAGGCGGCCUUCUAAGUCGAACGUGAAAUCCCCGGGCUCAACCCGGGAACUGCGUCCGAUACUGGAAGGCUUGAAUCCGGGAGAGGGAUGUGGAAUUCCAGGUGUAGCGGUGAAAUGCGUAGAGUAUCUGGAGGAACACCGGUGGCGAAGGCGAACUACCUGGCC
RNAcentral lists this ribosomal RNA (213 nucleotides) under uncultured bacterium. RNAcentral's name for it is "partial 16S ribosomal RNA". It matches the Rfam family "Bacterial small subunit ribosomal RNA", at positions 524 to 734 of the family's 1533-position model. The record is from RNAcentral.